This 426-nucleotide ribosomal RNA is filed under the name uncultured bacterium. Its description in RNAcentral is "bacterial SSU rRNA". It matches the Rfam family "Bacterial small subunit ribosomal RNA", at positions 356 to 773 of the family's 1533-position model. The record is from RNAcentral.
GGGGAAUAUUGCGCAAUGGGGGAAACCCUGACGCAGCGACGCCGCGUGAGCGAAGAAGGCCUUAGGGUUGUAAAGCUCUGUUUUAGGGGACGAAUGUUAUGGGGAGUAAUAUGCCCUGUAAAUGACGGUACCCUAAGAGGAAGCCCCGGCUAACUACGUGCCAGCAGCCGCGGUAAGACGUAGGGGGCGAGCGUUGUCCGGAAUUACUGGGCGUAAAGAGCACGUAGGCGGGAACUUAAGUCAGGUGUGAAAGACCGUGGCUCAACCACGGGGUGGCAUUUGAAACUGGGUUUCUUGAGGGCAGGAGAGGAAAGCAGAAUUCCUGGUGUAGCGGUGAAAUGCGUAGAAAUCAGGAGGAAUACCAGUGGCGAAGGCGGCUUUCUGGACUGACCCUGACGCUGAGGUGCGAAAGCGUGGGUAGCAAAC